AAGUUCAUGCCACUGCAUGCCAGCCUGGGUGACAGCACAAGACUCUGUCUCAAAAAAGCGAAAAAGAAAAGUAGCUUCAGUCCCUGUCUAAAUUGUUAUAGUUUGUGACUAUUAUCUGAAAUAGUCUUAUCCAAAUUUCAUAUGCAGAUUGAUAAUUUUUCAUUUUGUAUGUAUAUUAGAUGAUAUAACUAUUUUCAUAGAAUACUUUUCUAAUUUAUAAACACUGAAUUAUUAUUAGCUUGAUAGAGUUUCUCCCAAACCUUAUAAAAUUUUGUAACGUACUUAUGUUUGAGCUUUAAAAAUUAUAAAAACUUCAUUUAAACAAGUUGCUGGCAUCCUUACUAGCCUUUCCACCUAUAAUUAUGAUGCAUUUGAUGCCACUGAACAGUAAUAGCACAAAGAACAGGUCUCACAGUCUAGACUGGAUUGAGUUUUAAUUAAACUUCUUCAGCCAUAGCCUGAUAAGAAUCAGGCUGGAUCUAGAAGAGUUAUCAGACUGUAGGCCUGUAUUAAUUUUGCAAGCUAAUGUUAAUGUUUACUGCCAGCCUUGCAUAGCAAUGCCAGUUUGCAGUUGUGACUAUGUGUGUGACUUUUGGUAAAAAUGGUUUAUAUCUAAAGUAGUUUAGAUUUUAUGGAAGUGGCUCUUGAUGGUUUGGACAAGCAGGGUAGGUAAAUUUCAAUUAUGUUUAAAGUGUAAUUAAAUCCUAGAAUAGAGCACUCUCCAGAAAAAAAGUAAGAAUUUAGAGAAUAUCCUGGCAUAAAAACGUUUUUGAAUAAUACAUAGAAUUUUGACAAGGUUCAUACAGUGCACACAGUGUGACCUUUUUUGAGGUGGGCAGUGGGGGUUGCUGCUUUGUGUUGAUUUAAAAUUUCAAGGAGGAACAAAAACAUUCUAGCCAAGGAGAAUUGCAUUGUUAAUUUUUUUCUACUAAUUUAAACGUGCAUUUUUCACAGUUACAUAUUUCUUUAAAAUAAGUUUUGCUACCAAAAAUAGCAAUUUUUCUAGACAGAUAACAUUUUCCUAAAGUGGAAAAGAAAGAGAUCCACUGUUCUAAAAAACAAACAAACAAAACACUAAAUUGUGCCUUCUCCCUUAAAUUAUAAGAAGAGUAAUAGUAAAACUUGUUUAAACUAUGUUUUCUUUUUUUCUAAUCCCUCUCAGUUCUCCUUAGAUCUGCCUCCUACAAGUGAUCAUGUUUGCAUCUGCCUGAUGGAGUUCCUUGGUCUAGCCUUUCACUAUCACUAUCAGAAGUUGUUCACUAAAUGUAUUUCCCUACUUCUUUCAUGUUGAUUGACUUUGUAAGUCACAUUGGUAAACAUAACAUUUGGCUACCUUCUUAUGCUUUAAAAAUUAAUGCAAUGAAUGGCAGUUUUUAUAUUUUAACCCUUUAAAAAGUUUGUCAAGGAAACAACUCAGAGCUAAGAACAAAAUCUAACUUGGAAUCAGUUUCUUCCUUUGGCUGCUGAAGCAGCAGCAAGUCACAUAACCUCAUUUAGUUUUUCCAUUUACAAAAUGUGGAUGAUAACCUACCUCACAGAUGUGUGUGAGCAACUGUUUGGAAGCCCUUGUUUAAAUACAGGGUUUAUAUCCCCACAUUCAAUGUAAAUUCCUUUUUUAAAAAAAAAUAAGUAUCUUUGAUAUUGAUGAGUAUCUUGAUUUUUAGGUAAGAUCACAGUUUCACAAAUUGUGGUGUUCUUAGGUGACAUUUAGUCUUUCUUGAGACCUCAAGUAUUCAAAUAUCAAACUUGUCCUGUGUUGUAACAAAUAUUCAGAAUCUCUUAAAAUGUUGGCUGGAGCUGCCUUAACGUACCAAAAUACAGCUCUCAAGACUGUUCACAAAUAUCUGUGGUUGUACAAUGUUUUGAACAUUUAAUGUAAAGUUGUUACAGAACUGUGAACUCUAAGGAUAGUAUCUUUAUUAUUUUAAGAAGAAUGGUUGUGUUCUUUGUCAGGUAUGCUUAAAUAUACAGUGGAUUUUGAGUGCAACAAAUAAAACUGAAAAUUAACAGCCAUUAGGUUGUGUCAUGACAAUCAUAAUAUAGGAUAUAAUAUUUACUUUUUUUUCAAAAACAUCCUGCAUUCAUUCAUUCUUAGCCUACCUUUGAAAAAGAAAAAAAAAAUCAAUAGGUUGAUACAUUGACCCAUUGGAGUACUUCAUUACGUAUUUAUUGAAAAAUUUUUUAAUUGUUAAAAUUGGGACCACUUUUUAUAAUUGGUUUCAAGAAAAAAAACAAACAGACUUCCAGUGCUUUUGUGUUCAAAUAAUCUCCGAUUCAAAUUUCAGUUUUGUUUGUUAUAUACUUUUUGUGAGUGUUAAAUGAUAUGGGAAGGAUUUGUCUUACAGUAACCAUAUGGAAAAGAUGUUUUUCUGAAUUACAUAGCAUUUUGUAGUUACAGAUUCUUCCUAAUUAAUGUUUGCACUGUAUGAAACUCAUAGGUAACAAACACAAAAGAGAAAAGCAGCCUGAUUGCUUAUAAGUUUUUUUCACAAAAUCAAAUUAAAGUCUCUGGUUCAUUUGAAAGCUA
Molecule: long non-coding RNA, 2527 nt
Organism: Mandrillus leucophaeus (drill)
Lineage: Eukaryota; Metazoa; Chordata; Mammalia; Primates; Cercopithecidae
Exons: 2
Source: RefSeq, a predicted model, not a curated record